RNAcentral lists this ribosomal RNA (2898 nucleotides) under Staphylococcus aureus subsp. aureus CIG1176. RNAcentral describes it as "bacterial LSU rRNA". It matches the Rfam family "Bacterial large subunit ribosomal RNA". Lineage: Bacteria; Bacillati; Bacillota; Bacilli; Caryophanales; Staphylococcaceae. The record is from RNAcentral.
GCCUUGGCACUAGAAGCCGAUGAAGGACGUUACUAACGACGAUAUGCUUUGGGGAGCUGUAAGUAAGCUUUGAUCCAGAGAUUUCCGAAUGGGGAAACCCAGCAUGAGUUAUGUCAUGUUAUCGAUAUGUGAAUACAUAGCAUAUCAGAAGGCACACCCGGAGAACUGAAACAUCUUAGUACCCGGAGGAAGAGAAAGAAAAUUCGAUUCCCUUAGUAGCGGCGAGCGAAACGGGAAGAGCCCAAACCAACAAGCUUGCUUGUUGGGGUUGUAGGACACUCUAUACGGAGUUACAAAGGACGACAUUAGACGAAUCAUCUGGAAAGAUGAAUCAAAGAAGGUAAUAAUCCUGUAGUCGAAAAUGUUGUCUCUCUUGAGUGGAUCCUGAGUACGACGGAGCACGUGAAAUUCCGUCGGAAUCUGGGAGGACCAUCUCCUAAGGCUAAAUACUCUCUAGUGACCGAUAGUGAACCAGUACCGUGAGGGAAAGGUGAAAAGCACCCCGGAAGGGGAGUGAAAUAGAACCUGAAACCGUGUGCUUACAAGUAGUCAGAGCCCGUUAAUGGGUGAUGGCGUGCCUUUUGUAGAAUGAACCGGCGAGUUACGAUUUGAUGCAAGGUUAAGCAGUAAAUGUGGAGCCGUAGCGAAAGCGAGUCUGAAUAGGGCGUUUAGUAUUUGGUCGUAGACCCGAAACCAGGUGAUCUACCCUUGGUCAGGUUGAAGUUCAGGUAACACUGAAUGGAGGACCGAACCGACUUACGUUGAAAAGUGAGCGGAUGAACUGAGGGUAGCGGAGAAAUUCCAAUCGAACCUGGAGAUAGCUGGUUCUCUCCGAAAUAGCUUUAGGGCUAGCCUCAAGUGAUGAUUAUUGGAGGUAGAGCACUGUUUGGACGAGGGGCCCCUCUCGGGUUACCGAAUUCAGACAAACUCCGAAUGCCAAUUAAUUUAACUUGGGAGUCAGAACAUGGGUGAUAAGGUCCGUGUUCGAAAGGGAAACAGCCCAGACCACCAGCUAAGGUCCCAAAAUAUAUGUUAAGUGGAAAAGGAUGUGGCGUUGCCCCAGACAACUAGGAUGUUGGCUUAGAAGCAGCCAUCAUUUAAAGAGUGCGUAAUAGCUCACUAGUCGAGUGACACUGCGCCGAAAAUGUACCGGGGCUAAACAUAUUACCGAAGCUGUGGAUUGUCCUUUUGGACAAUGGUAGGAGAGCGUUCUAAGGGCGUUGAAGCAUGAUCGUAAGGACAUGUGGAGCGCUUAGAAGUGAGAAUGCCGGUGUGAGUAGCGAAAGACGGGUGAGAAUCCCGUCACCGAUUGACUAAGGUUCCAGAGGAAGGCUCGUCCGCUCUGGGUUAGUCGGGUCCUAAGCUGAGGCCGACAGGCGUAGGCGAUGGAUAACAGGUUGAUAUUCCUGUACCACCUAUAAUCGUUUUAAUCGAUGGGGGGACGCAGUAGGAUAGGCGAAGCGUGCGAUUGGAUUGCACGUCUAAGCAGUAAGGCUGAGUAUUAGGCAAAUCCGGUACUCAUUAAGGCUGAGCUGUGAUGGGGAGAAGACAUUGUGUCUUCGAGUCGUUGAUUUCACACUGCCGAGAAAAGCCUCUAGAUAGAAAAUAGGUGCCCGUACCGCAAACCGACACAGGUAGUCAAGAUGAGAAUUCUAAGGUGAGCGAGCGAACUCUCGUUAAGGAACUCGGCAAAAUGACCCCGUAACUUCGGGAGAAGGGGUGCUCUUUAGGGUUAACGCCCAGAAGAGCCGCAGUGAAUAGGCCCAAGCGACUGUUUAUCAAAAACACAGGUCUCUGCUAAACCGUAAGGUGAUGUAUAGGGGCUGACGCCUGCCCGGUGCUGGAAGGUUAAGAGGAGUGGUUAGCUUCUGCGAAGCUACGAAUCGAAGCCCCAGUAAACGGCGGCCGUAACUAUAACGGUCCUAAGGUAGCGAAAUUCCUUGUCGGGUAAGUUCCGACCCGCACGAAAGGCGUAACGAUUUGGGCACUGUCUCAACGAGAGACUCGGUGAAAUCAUAGUACCUGUGAAGAUGCAGGUUACCCGCGACAGGACGGAAGGACCCCCGUGGAGCUUUACUGUAGCCUGAUAUUGAAAUUCGGCACAGCUUGUACAGGAUAGGUAGGAGCCUUUGAAACGUGAGCGCUAGCUUACGUGGAGGCGCUGGUGGGAUACUACCCUAGCUGUGUUGGCUUUCUAACCCGCACCACUUAUCGUGGUGGGAGACAGUGUCAGGCGGGCAGUUUGACUGGGGCGGUCGCCUCCUAAAAGGUAACGGAGGCGCUCAAAGGUUCCCUCAGAAUGGUUGGAAAUCAUUCAUAGAGUGUAAAGGCAUAAGGGAGCUUGACUGCGAGACCUACAAGUCGAGCAGGGUCGAAAGACGGACUUAGUGAUCCGGUGGUUCCGCAUGGAAGGGCCAUCGCUCAACGGAUAAAAAGCUACCCCGGGGAUAACAGGCUUAUCUCCCCCAAGAGUUCACAUCGACGGGGAGGUUUUGGCACCUCGAUGUCGGCUCAUCGCAUCCUGGGGCUGUAGUCGGUCCCAAGGGUUGGGCUGUUCGCCCCAUUAAAGCGGUACGCGAGCUGGGUUCAGAACGUCGUGAGACAGUUCGGUCCCUAUCCGUCGUGGGCGUAGGAAAUUUGAGAGGAGCUGUCCUUAGUACGAGAGGACCGGGAUGGACAUACCUCUGGUGUACCAGUUGUCGUGCCAACGGCAUAGCUGGGUAGCUAUGUGUGGACGGGAUAAGUGCUGAAAGCAUCUAAGCAUGAAGCCCCCCUCAAGAUGAGAUUUCCCAACUUCGGUUAUAAGAUCCCUCAAAGAUGAUGAGGUUAAUAGGUUCGAGGUGGAAGCAUGGUGACAUGUGGAGCUGACGAAUACUAAUCGAUCGAAGACUUAAUCAA